UACGUAGGUCCCGAGCGUUGUCCGGAUUUAUUGGGCGUAAGGCGAGCGCAGGUGGUUUAUUAAGUCUGGUGUAAAAGGCAGUGGCUCAACCAUUGUAUGCAUUGGAAACUGGUAGACUUGAGUGCAGGAGGGGAGAGUGGAAUUCCAUGUGUAGCGGUGAAAUGCGUAGAUAUAUGGAAGAACACCAGUGGCGAAAGCGGCUCUCUGGUCUGUAACUGACGCUGAGGUUCGAAAGCGUGGGUAGCAAACAGG
This 252-nucleotide ribosomal RNA is filed under the name uncultured bacterium. RNAcentral's name for it is "partial 16S ribosomal RNA". It matches the Rfam family "Bacterial small subunit ribosomal RNA", at positions 524 to 776 of the family's 1533-position model. The record is from RNAcentral.